AACGGCCGUACCAUGCUGAACAUACCGGUUCUCGUUAGAUCACCGAAGUUAAGCAUCAUUGGGCGCGGUCAGUACUUGGGUGGGUGACCACCUGGGAACACUGUGUGCCGUU
Molecule: ribosomal RNA, 112 nt
Filed under: Caerostris darwini
Lineage: Eukaryota; Metazoa; Arthropoda; Arachnida; Araneae; Araneidae
Source: RNAcentral